RNAcentral lists this ribosomal RNA (496 nucleotides) under uncultured bacterium. RNAcentral describes it as "partial 16S ribosomal RNA". It matches the Rfam family "Bacterial small subunit ribosomal RNA", at positions 28 to 506 of the family's 1533-position model. The record is from RNAcentral.
GAUGAACGCUGGCGGCGUGCCUAAUACAUGCAAGUCGAGCGAACAGACGAGGAGCUUGCUCCUCUGACGUUAGCGGCGGACGGGUGAGUAACACGUGGAUAACCUACCUAUAAGACUGGGAUAACUUCGGGAAACCGGAGCUAAUACCAGAUAACAUGUUGAACCGCAUGGUUCAACAGUGAAAGACGGUCUUGCUGUCACUUAUAGAUGGAUCCGCGCCGCAUUAGCUAGUUGGUAAGGUAACGGCUUACCAAGGCAACGAUGCGUAGCCGACCUGAGAGGGUGAUCGGCCACACUGGAACUGAGACACGGUCCAGACUCCUACGGGAGGCAGCAGUAGGGAAUCUUCCGCAAUGGGCGAAAGCCUGACGGAGCAACGCCGCGUGAGUGAUGAAGGUCUUCGGAUCGUAAAACUCUGUUAUUAGGGAAGAACAAAUGUGUAAGUAACUAUGCACGUCUUGACGGCACCUAAUCAGAAAGCCACGGCUAACUACGU